GAUGAAGAACGUAGCGAAAUGCGAUAAGUAAUGUGAAUUGCAGAAUUCAGUGAAUCAUCGAAUCUUUGAACGCACAUUGCGCCCGCCAGUAUUCUGGCGGGCAUGCCUGUUCGAGCGUCAUUUCAACCAUCAAGCCCCAGGCUUGUGUUGGGGACCUGCGGAUGCCGCAGGCCCUGAAAACCAGUGGCGGGCUCGCUGUCACACCGGGCGUAGUAGAUUUUAUCUCGCUCAGGGCGUGCUGCGGGUCCCGGCCGUUAAAAGCCUUUUUUUACCCAAGGUUGACCUCGGAUCAGGUAGGAAGACCCGCUGAACUUAAGCAUAUCAAUAAGCGGAGGA
This 336-nucleotide unclassified non-coding RNA is filed under the name soil metagenome. RNAcentral's name for it is "partial contains 5.8S ribosomal RNA, internal transcribed spacer 2, and large subunit ribosomal RNA". The stretch from base 1 to 120 matches the Rfam family "5.8S ribosomal RNA", at positions 35 to 154 of the family's 154-position model. The record is from RNAcentral.